ACCUCCUUUCUAAGGAGCACCAUUUACAUGCCCUGAUCCAGGGUUUCCCCCAUGCCGGCAACAGUGCCGGGGUUCAUGGUUGGGAUUGUCGCCGGCGCCUGUAGUGGGCCGCUCCGGCGGGUGCAUAUGACAACAAACGUUCGGCCGGCUGGAAAGCGUUGGUCGUGAAGAAUUGCCAGACACACUGUUGGGUCCUGAGACAACAGGCCCGUUCGCUCCCCUCUCGGCUAGAGGGUGGGGGACGCCCCGGUUGCGGGGUGGGGGUUGUUGUUGCCUCACCGGUUUUGGUGGUGGGGUGUGGUGUUUGAUUCGUGGAUAGUGGUUGCGAGCAUC
Molecule: unclassified non-coding RNA, 333 nt
Filed under: Mycolicibacterium mucogenicum
Lineage: Bacteria; Bacillati; Actinomycetota; Actinomycetes; Mycobacteriales; Mycobacteriaceae
Description: partial miscellaneous RNA
Source: RNAcentral